RNAcentral lists this ribosomal RNA (468 nucleotides) under uncultured bacterium. Its description in RNAcentral is "partial 16S ribosomal RNA". It matches the Rfam family "Bacterial small subunit ribosomal RNA", at positions 28 to 507 of the family's 1533-position model. The record is from RNAcentral.
GACGAACGCUGGCGGCGUGCCUAACACAUGCAAGUCGAACGGAAAGGCCCUGCUUUUGUGGGGUGCUCGAGUGGCGAACGGGUGAGUAACACGUGAGUAACCUGCCCUUGACUUUGGGAUAACUUCAGGAAACUGGGGCUAAUACCGGAUAGGAGCUCCUGCUGCAUGGUGGGGGUUGGAAAGUUUCGGCGGUUGGGGAUGGACUCGCGGCUUAUCAGCUUGUUGGUGGGGUAGUGGCUUACCAAGGCUUUGACGGGUAGCCGGCCUGAGAGGGUGACCGGCCACAUUGGGACUGAGAUACGGCCCAGACUCCUACGGGAGGCAGCAGUGGGGAAUAUUGCACGAUGGGCGGAAGCCUGAUGCAGCAACGCCGCGUGCGGGAUGACGGCCUUCGGGUUGUAAACCGCUUUCGCCUGUGACGAAGCGUGAGUGACGGUAAUGGGUAAAGAAGCACAGGCUAACUACGUG